GUGCUCCCUUCAGCAGCACAUAUACUAAAAUUGGAACGAUACAGAGAAGAUUAGCAUGGCCCCUGUGCAAGGAUGACAUGCAAAUUCAUGAAGCAUUCCAUAUUUUU
Small nuclear RNA from Otolemur garnettii (small-eared galago), 107 nucleotides. Lineage: Eukaryota; Metazoa; Chordata; Mammalia; Primates; Galagidae. The record is from Ensembl.